This is a long non-coding RNA of Cebus imitator (Panamanian white-faced capuchin), 988 nucleotides long. RefSeq lists it as uncharacterized. Lineage: Eukaryota; Metazoa; Chordata; Mammalia; Primates; Cebidae. The record is from RefSeq and is a predicted model, not a curated record. The transcript is spliced from 3 exons.
UUGCCCAGGCUGGUCAGGACUGUUGAUGGCAUGUGACAGAAACCAGCCAGCUCUAGUUCCCCACCACCUUUCACUCUACGCCUUUCUGCAUCUUCCCAGUCUCAAUAAGUGUCACUUCCAUCCUUCAAGUUGCCCAAGCCCUGAAUCUCAAUGUUAACCUUGAUUUCUCUCUUUUAUCUCAUAGCCGAUAUGAAGGCGAAUCAUGUUCAGACCCAGGUGAAGUUUCCUGCGGACCCAGGCUCUCACCAGCAGAUUCCCCUAACUGUCCUCCUGAGGGUGUCUGGAGUUUCAGCGCUGUGUGCUCUUGGGUUUCAGGCUGGGGCACCACUGACUCCUGCUGUCCAGGGCUUUUAGUGACUCUCCGAGGCACUGAUGUAGAAUCUUCCCCAUUUGAUGCACCAAGAGCAGCCUCACAUGGCGUGGGCUGACCUGAAGAGCUGCCAGGUCCAACAGGUAAAAAUCAUGAGAGCCUAAGCUGAGUCCACACCCUGGAAGCCAAGAACUGAGAGAACAGAUGGAAGAAAGAAAGUCAACAGGUUUCAGAAAAGAGAGAAUAACCUGCAAAGGACAAGUCAAUGGUAGAACAGAAGCCUGCACUAUCUGGAGCACUGAGGCUGUCUCAAGCUAACUGAUCUGCUCUCUGGAUUCCGGGGACCCCCACAGAGCCAGAGGUUGAAGGCACAGGCAUUGAUAUCUCCGACUGUUCUGACUCCAGGUUGGUGCACCUCAGUGCCCAGUAUUAACCACACAGUAACAGGAUGCCACCAACAUUUUGAUUUGGGGCUGUUGCAUCCUAACUUUAAUAAAAUGUAAUAGACAUUAUUUUUUAGAAUAAUUCUAGGUUUACAGAUAAAUUGAGCUGAUAGCACAGGGAAUUCCCCUACUCUCUCUUGUCCCUUAGCACACAAUUUCCUCUAUCAUUGGUAUCUUGCGUUAGUGUGAUACAUGUUUACAAUUGAUUAAUCAAUAAUUGAUAUGAUAUUAUUAA